Molecule: ribosomal RNA, 1972 nt
Filed under: human gut metagenome
Description: bacterial LSU rRNA
Rfam family: Bacterial large subunit ribosomal RNA
Source: RNAcentral
UCAAGUAAGUAAGGGCGUACGGCGGAUGCCUUGGCCAUAUCAGCCGAAGAAGGACGCGAUAAGCUGCGAUAAGCUGCGGUGAGGUGCAAGUAACCUUUGACCCGCAGAUCUCCGAAUGGGGAAACCCGGCAGCAGUAGUGCUGUCAUCCUCUAUGAGGAAGGGCACCCGGUGAACUGAAACAUCUAAGUAGCCGGAGGAAAAGGAAUCAACAGAGAUACCCCUAGUAGCGGCGAGCGAACGGGGCAGAGCCCAAACCGGGAUGGGAAACCAAUCCGGGGUUGUGGACUGCUAUCAAAUGCAUGAGUGAAGCAGAAUGAGCUGGGAAGCUCAGCCAGAGAGAGUGAGAGCCUCGUAGGCGUAAGCAAGUGCAUGGAGCAGGAUCCGGAGUACCACGGGACACGAGAAACCCUGUGGGAAGCUGGGGGGACCACCCUCCAAGGCGAAACACUGAUAUGGACCGAUAGCGCAUAGUACCGUGAGGGAAAGGUGAAAAGAACCCCGGGAGGGGAAUGAAAGAGAACCUGAAACCGUAUGUCUACAAGCAGUCGAAGACCUUUAUAUGGUCGACGGCGUGCCUAUUGAAGAAUGAACCGGCGAGUUACUUCAGCUAGCGAGGUUAAGCAGGAAAUGCGGAGCCGCAGCGAAAGCGAGUCUGAACAGGGCGUAUAGUUAGUUGGAGUAGACCCGAAACCACAGUGAUCUACCCAUGUCCAGGUUGAAGCACAGGUAAAAAUGUGUGGAGGACCGAACCAGUGAGCGUUGAAAAGCUUUUGGAUGAGAUGUGGGUAGGGGUGAAAUGCCAAUCGAACGUGGAGAUAGCUGGUUCUCCCCGAAAUAGCUUUAGGGCUAGCCUCAUGGCGAGAGUACAGGCGGUAGAGCACUGAACGGGGUAGGGGCCUAUCCGGCUACUGAACCUAAUCAAACUGCGAAUGGCUGUACUUAUCCAUGGGAGUCAGACUGUGAGUAAUAAGGCCCAUAGUCAAGAGGGAAACAGCCCAGACCAACAGCUAAGGUCCCCAAUGCCGUACUAAGUGGCGAAGGAUGUGGAAUUUCGAAAACAACCAGGAUGUUGGCUCAGAAGCAGCCACCAUUAAAAGAGUGCGUAAUAGCUCACUGGUCGAGAGACUCUGCGCCGAAGAUGUCCGGGGCUAAAGUACGGAACCGAAGCUUUGGCAAUUAACAUAAGUUAAUUGGGUAGGGGAGCGUUCCUGCAUGGGAGAAGCCUGACCGGAAGGACAGGUGGACAGGCAGGAAGAGAGAAUGCCGGUAUGAGUAGCGAAAAGAAGGGUGAGAAUCCCUUCCACCGAAAGCCUAAGGGUUCCUGGGCAACGAUCGUCGUCCCAGGGUAAGUCGGGACCUAAUCCGAGGCGGAGACGCGUAGGAGAUGGACAACAGGUUGAAAUUCCUGUACUGGCUGAGGCCGUUUGAGCGAAGGAGUGACACAGGAAGGAAGGCGCGCGUGCGAUUGGAAGAGCACGUCCAAGCAGGUAGGUCGGGAGACAGGCAAAUCCGUUUCCCAUGAGGCCGAGAUGUGAUGGGGAGCUUCUGGAGACAGAAGCGAAGGGGCUGGCACUAAACUGUCGAGAAAAGCUUCUAGUGAGGACUCAGGCACCCGUACCGAAACCGACACAGGUAGGCAGGAUGAGAAUUCUAAGGUGCGCGGGAAAACCCUCGUUAAGGAACUCGGCAAAAUAUAUCCGUAACUUCGGGAAAAGGAUAACCCAGCGUACGUGAAGUGCAGAAACGCAUGGAGCGGAGAUGGGUGGCAGAAGAGAGGCCCAAGCGACUGUUUACCACAAACACAGGCGUCUGCUAAAGCGAAAGCUGAUGUAUAGAUGCUGACACCUGCCCGGUGCUGGAAGGUUAAGAGGAAGUGUUAGCGCAAGCGAAGCAGUGAAUUGAAGCCCCAGUAAACGGCGGCCGUAACUAUAACGGUCCUAAGGUAGCGAAAUUCCUUGUCGGGUAAGUUCC